UUGAAAUACUGGUUCUCAUAUGAUCACCAAAGUUAAGCAACGUUGAACCUGGUCAGUACCUAUAUGGGUGACCACUUGAGAAUACCAGGUUCUGUAAG
Acanthosepion pharaonis is the source of this 98-nucleotide non-coding RNA. NCBI's taxonomy places the organism in Eukaryota, Metazoa, Mollusca, Cephalopoda, Sepiida, Sepiidae. The record is from the annotation of a GenBank genome assembly.